GCUAGGUGUGGUGACACACACCUGUGGUCCCAGCUACUUGGGAGGCUGAGGCAGGAGGAUUGCUUGAGCCCAGGAGUUUGAGGCUGCAGUGAACCAUGAUUGUGCCACUGCACUCCAACCUGAGCAACAGAGUGAGACCUUGUCUCAA
This is an unclassified non-coding RNA of Pongo abelii (Sumatran orangutan), 148 nucleotides long. It matches the Rfam family "Metazoan signal recognition particle RNA". Rfam says of the family: The signal recognition particle (SRP) is a universally conserved ribonucleoprotein. It is involved in the co-translational targeting of proteins to membranes. Lineage: Eukaryota; Metazoa; Chordata; Mammalia; Primates; Hominidae. The record is from Ensembl.